Schizosaccharomyces pombe (fission yeast) is the source of this 250-nucleotide non-coding RNA. The record is from the annotation of a GenBank genome assembly. NCBI's taxonomy places the organism in Eukaryota, Fungi, Ascomycota, Schizosaccharomycetes, Schizosaccharomycetales, Schizosaccharomycetaceae.
AGCCGAUGGGCGGAACCAGAAAAUAUCAAAACAGAAACAAACAAGAGAUCUUAAAAUAUAAGUUAGCAGCUAAUCUCUCGAUUUAAUGGAAAAGUGUAUGUGUUUAUUUAUACCUGUUUUAUUAUAUAGAGAACCCCAAAACAACGAUAUUAACAUUACUUCCAUAUUUAUGUCAAAGCGAAAUAACAUAAAAUUGACAUUUUUUAAGGUUUAGUGUUUACGGCCUUUGCCAAUCUUCGUCCAACCCUCU